Bombus terrestris (buff-tailed bumblebee) is the source of this 8028-nucleotide long non-coding RNA. RefSeq lists it as uncharacterized. The transcript is spliced from 2 exons. The record is from RefSeq and is a predicted model, not a curated record. NCBI's taxonomy places the organism in Eukaryota, Metazoa, Arthropoda, Insecta, Hymenoptera, Apidae.
ACUGUCCACUCGAAAGGACAGACGACACAUUGAUGUACUCGACGGAGCCACGGCUCUCACCACUUUGUAUACGGUUCGGCCGAUAUCUUGGGCCUUUUGCCCACGAUGCUACAUUAGAAUUAUAUCUUCGACGAUUAUUAGAAUGAGCGAAAAUUUCUACGGAUAGUGAUCACAGAAUUUGUCAAUCAGCUGAUAAACGUAUUGAGCUAACAUGAUUUGCAACGGAAACCUUCCGUUUCCAUAUCAAUUUCAAAUCUAUUUGGCUAUGAUCGCGCAUCCCUCGAUUGCCGCAUUUUUAUGGAAAACUCUACUUCUCAAAUGUACACAGGCGGGUCGAACGAUGAACGGACUGUUCCAUUAUUCUUUCUAAUAAAAAAUUAUUAUUUUACUUUUGGAAUGGACCAUCGAAUUCAUUUAUGAAUAAAAUUUGUGACCAUGAUUCUUUGUACACUUUAGAAAAUUGUAUGUUGACUUCCAACGUAUUAAGUAGCACUCAAGUUUUGUUAAUAGAAUGUUCUCCUCUCGUGUCGUAUUCUGGAAGGUGGUUUCAUCCCUUGAACUCCAGUUAUCGCGACUAACAAGGAUGUGCAAUUAUAAAUGUGACUGUUCUUCAAGCCCACAAAGUGCACCCUCGAGUUUCAUCCAAGUUUUGUUAUUGGGAUCGAAUGCAAAUUUCGAAUCUGUCAGAUUUUUCUCUGUAAAUCAGCUAAAAUGUCCGAAGCUAUUCUCUCUAGUAACUUGUAAUAACUAACCCUUACUCAAAUCUCUGCCCUGGGCAAUGUGCACUCCAUCGAUCAGCAACUUCAGUUACCGCUCAUCCUCACUAAAAUCUUUCCAUGGCUCAAUGCCUCGUGGGUGCACUUCCAGCUCCAACUGUUUUCUUGGACAGUGUCCACUAGCUACAUCGAUGGCGGAGAAUAAUCUGUCUCUCUAAUCAGUCUCUCUGUAGACGCUGCCGUGUAAACUUGCAAUUAUUUCCUUGACAAAUCACCUUCUGUGGACGACGUCCAUUUCCUGGUUAUUUAGUGGUUACUUUCACCAAAAUUGUCGACCACUUGAUCACUGCGAAACUUUCCGGGGGAUUCUUAGUAGUUUCACCUACUUUCACAGACAGUGUCUAUCCAAGAUUGGUAAAAUAAACAGACUAUCGGGACAUUCUUUGGAAAGUAGAACGAUUUUCGCUAUCAGAGAUGCAGAUUCUAUCAAGCAAAAGGGAGACACUCCGGAGAAAAGAAAUUGACGCUAAAACAUAGUUUCGCAAUCUAAACGAAGAAUGUCGAAAAAGGAAUAUGCUGGGACUAAAAAAAUGUUAAAGGCAUUAAGAGAAGUUCUAAUAAAAUACCAAAAAAAAAAAAUAACAAACAAAGCAAUAAAAAACAAAACUGACACGAAAUUCGAAGAAUAAGAAUAGAUCAAGAAUAUCACCGAAUAAAAUACGAAAAAAAAGGUAGAAGAAAAGACUGGAUGAGAGCACUAAACUGAAGUUUUACUGAUAAAGAAACAGGAACACCAAAGAGAGUAGUUCAAUCAAUAAAAAAUAGCCUAACGAUGCUAAAGAUCAGUAAUAAAAAAAGGUAUACGAAGGGAGAGACGGAAUUGCAGCACGUCUGUACUACCAUUCGCGGUAUGAUAGCCCUGCUAUAGCGAAAACUUUUUACCUUGUUUUCAAUUUAAUCAAAUUUUUAAUCCCACUGAAAAUUUUUAAUUUCAGUUCAUCCCUUAACUCGCACUACUUCGAGAUUUUCUCGUUGAUGGCUGUAUACAGUCAAAAGCGGGGAAAAGCUAACCAUUGGCAAAGGUUUAUUUUUCGACAGAAAAAAUCUCGUUGAGACUAUUCUUUUUAAUCAUUGCAACGCCGAGAUUUCCAACUUCAUUUUCUGGUAAUAAAUCCAGCUGAUAUCAACUACUGGAAGCACCGACGUGCACUAACACGUUCGUGAUAUUCAUUUCCAAAUAACGCGCGUGUGUUUUAUUUUCCCUGAGCAUAUAUUUCCCCUUUUUCAUAACAUCGUCGAACAUUCGUCUGUUUACCGACGGAAGCAGGAAAACGAGGAAAAAAUACGUAGACGAAAAAAAAAAAUCUGUUUUAAUAACGAACUACGAAUAUCUGCGCAAAAUUUUACGAACAUGACAUCAUGAACGACCUAUAUCUUUAUUUGUUGUUGAAUAAAAAUUAACGCUGCUGUAAACACGGUUAUCAUGAGAUCUACAACUUCACGAUUUUAUUAAAUAUACUUCUUUUACGAUAUAAUCGCAAAAACAUUUACCGGGAUUAUGUAUUAUAAUGAAUAUUGUGUAAAUAAGGAAAUUGAAAUGUAUCGAACACAAAUUAAAGAUAUUGAAAUAUAAGAGUCAUGUACCGUAAUGAAUAUUUUAUUUAAAUACGUUCAAAUGUAUCAAACAGAAAUUAAAAAUGCCGGAGGAUAAGAAUUAUUUAUUAGGAGUAUUUCAUUUUACAAAAUUGAAGCAUUUCAAACAAUAAUUAAAUAUAGGUGGAGAAGAAACAUUUAUAAGAGUUAGGUUUGGGUUAGAUUUCUCUUACUUAUCUCCCUGUCUGUCUGUCUCUCCCUCUCUUUUUCUUGGGUUUAUCUUAGGGGUGCUUUAAUUUGUCAAUACAGAACCUUCCUUCUACAUCUAUCUUCUUCCCAAUUAGCAAUUUCAUAUUUCAGGUAAAUAAUUUCACGUCCGCGAAAGAAUAGAGUUACUAAACUAACAAAUUACAUUACUGUCUCGGCAAAGGCGUUAAAUUCUGUCGAUUCAUCGUCUACGAGGUACAAGCGGCUGAAUGACAGCUACUUUAUCGAGGGAAUUGCGUUAUAAUGUUGUCGGCGACCGGCAAAGAGCUUUAAUCCAUUGAUCGUCAUUCGAGUAACUGAAUUCGGAAACAAGCUCGUGGUAAUUAAAAAGAAUGUAUCGCUAAUGUAUUUAAGAUUCGAUAAAAAAGAAAUUUCAUUUAUCCUCGCCGAUAAGGAUAAAGGUAAAUAUCAAAAAGGGAACGCGUUUCAGACGAUAAACUCGAUUUUGAUCGACUGGUCAUUGAAAUUUCCUGUCACGUUCUUGUUACUAGAGUUGACGUUUCGCCGUUUUAGUGCUUUCGUCCUAUUAUUUUAUGUUACUAAUUAGAUCUUCUGGAAAUGGCAAUUAUUGAUAUGAAAAGCGACCAGUUGAUCCUCGUAUUUGACCGUUCUCAUUAACGAGGUAUUUAUCGAUCAUGUAACAAAUAUCUCUUAGCCAUAUCGCUUUGACACAGCUGCUGAUCUGUCCUUUGCACCGUGUGUAGGAUUUAGUGCAAUUAGCAUAGUGCUUUAUACGUCUCUAUAUAGGAUCGAUUUGCAUUUCGUGGUACGAUACCACCAGAAACGCAUGUUUCGUACGUACAAUUAUUUUUAAUUAUCUUUAUCAACGACAGGAAACAAUCUACACAUUUUGAAAUUUCGUUGAAACCACAAUGAAACACAUUUACACCGAUUGUAUCGGUGAAAUGUUAAAAGAAUUUGUAAAUGUACGUAGAAGUUUGAAAAUAUUUAUUGCAAGCAUACGCUUCAUAAACAUGCUCGAAGUAUACGAUUAGUUAUCGAAUCAUGAUAAUAGUGUUUCAUUACAUCUCAUUACCUCAUUAAUUAAUUACUCAACAAGUUUCGUAUAACAUACGAUAAAAGACUUUCUCCCCUAUCUACGAAGAGAAUUUCUCGAUGAGCCUCUACUACGUAAUGCUCGUUAUUUUGGAUGGCGCGACUGGUCCACAGAAAAAUUAUAUGGUUCCGUUGGAAACCGACGAAAGCAGCUGACGCGCCAGGCAGAGAGCAGAGGGAAUAAAAUAUCACGGAGAUGAACCUUGAUUCUUCUGCUUAGUGGAAAGGUUAUCGAUCGAGAGCAGGAUCAGAGGUUUUCGUCUCACGAUUAAUUACUCCACGAAAAUAUGUCAAAAGGAAAGGCGGGUCUUUAGAAGUUGGUCAAAAGUCAGGGCAAUCGUAUAGAAAGUAUUGAAUUAUUAUUUCCUUUGAACGUAUGUAAAAAUAUGUAGAGAUAAAAUGUUAUGAUAAAAAUCUUAUUAAUUUUACUAUUAAAUUUGUUUUUAUUUAAUUUCAAUAUUCGAUUUAGAUUUUACGGGUGUUUCAGGGCGUAUUAUUAAUUUCACAACUUGUUUAAUUUUCUUACGCUAAUUAAUAUCGAUUAAAUGUCCGUCUUUCUCGCCCUUUCGUAAUUGUAAUUUUAAUCUAGAUUCGCGAUAAGUUGUUUUCGACGAGGUAAAUUCGCGAAAUUGUUUUCUUUGAAACUCCAUAGUUAUCCUCAGUGUUGACCCAAUAUUAAUCUUAUUCGCUUCGUGCCACGGUAAUUAGCCUUCGCGUCUGGUUGCUCGUUUUGAGGAUCGGGACACAGUUUCUCAUUUUUAACGGGCACUUUGCGCGGUCAAUUCACGCGCGCCAUUUCUUCUAGACGUGACCGAUUCUUCACCAGACUUCUACUUCCAUCUUUCUGGUACCAUCAUGGCCAAUGUGUUUCUUAUUCUUCUCCAAAGACUUUCCACGUCGUCGUCAUGAAUUCCACGUUCGAUCGAUACUCGAGAUCUCACGCUAUUUUUCUUCCGUGCACCUAUCCAAAUAUCAGACACCUGACCACCAUUCGAAGAAACAUGAACAUCUCCAUUCUGCAAUUUCGAUGCGAAAUUUCAGUCAGUCAGAGCAAUUUCGCUGGCCAGAAACACAAAACCAAUUUGUUUAAAUUUCCCACAUUGUUUAUUCGAAAAUUAAACCACCUAUUGCUUAAUGUUCGUAUCGGAUAUCAGUUGCCUGCAUGCAACCAGUUUAACGUUACAAUGCGCUUGUUAGUUCACGUUUGUAACAACUGUGGUCACAUUUGCAUACGAUACGAGAUUCCUCCCGGAAACUCUGGUUUUGGAUCAUUAAAGUUAACUCAAUAUAUACACAGCAGAUAGAAUGUUCUUUUGCCUUCAAACGAAAUCAGACUUUCAAUUCGUUUCAUAUAACAGUUUGUUGCGAUAUGAAGCUCUUUGCUUUCGUCGAAACGGAAGUAGAUGAGAUACGUUCAAGUCAGACACGUACACUUAAUGAAGUUUAAUUGAAUUACAGUAUUGUCGUACAUACUUAACACAUCUUUGACCGGUCACGAGUUAACUCGUGUUUUCAUGGCCAAAUUGUGCACCAUUACACGCAGAUGAUUGUUACACUGUUUAUCAUACGAAAAAGAAAUAUUAAAAGUUGAAAUAAAAAUAUAUAAAAUUUAUUAAAGUUUAUUUAUAUUGUUUUACUUUCACAUCCAAUUACGAAAUAAUAACCGAUGACAUGAGAUAAAUUCUCAAUAAAAUUUCCGGUCAACAAUGUGUUAAAUUUUAUUUAUUAUAUAUCCUUGCAGUGCAAUAGAUUAUUUACCUAAUUAUUGUAAUUACACGUCUACUCUUUUGUGUAAACAAGCCGUAUUUUCUAGUCGCUUAUUUAUUAGAUCGAUUAAUCCCACAAAACAAAAAAUAGACAAAACUGAUGAAAUUAUGUAAAAUAAGCGUCGAUCAAAAAGUGCUUCGGCACUAAAAUCUCAACAAUUUCAAAAACUCCAGCUAACCAUUGCGGCCUAAUUCAACGAUGUUUCAGCGAUACCUAUUUCCACUAUCUGUUCGUUUAUUUCUGUCCGAAAUUGUAGUCGGUCGAAGAAUAUGGAACAUUCGAUAGAACUCAACUUAUGGUUAAGAGCUACCAGGCUACGGACUGGUGCUUUAAUUCUCAAAUACAAGAAAAGGGAUGGAAUAAUUCAUAAGGGGGUUGCCGUUUCCUCAGCGUUUUGUGCGUCCGGAGCUUCCACGCGGAAUAGCUCCUUUUCAAGCGGAUUAUUCCACAAGCUACCAAGCUAAUGCAGCUUCCAAGCAGCUCGUACCUUCGUCUAGCAGUUCCUGGUAUGCCUGGCCUGUAAUCCGUCACUUGGGAAAUAUUGAUCCGCCAUCGAACAUAAAAGGGACAAAAAGAAAAACGUGGAGAGAAGAUGACAGAUUUUCCUGCGGCGCGACGAAGAGAUCCAAGUUGUCUUCCGCUAGACUCAACCAACCAAUUUCUGCUGGCUCGACGAACGUGAUUAAGGAAAAUUAAUUAUCUCUGGUCGACCAUAUGAAACAUUUGUUUAUCCUCGUCGAGUUAAGCUUUCGUGGACUUCGAUAAUUAAUUAGCGACAUCCUCGAAGACAUUACAGUCGAUUAAUCGGGAUAAUUGAGUAACCCGGCUUUCCUCGUAUCAUUAUCUACCAUUUUGGAAUCUUUUCUAUUCCACACAACUGGUAUCUGCCUCAGCUCUACUUCAAUUUCCUUGCUCUCGUCUCGAUUUAUCGUCCUGAAUUUCCGUCUACGCUUGCCAAUUUCCGUGUGUCUUCUGAUUCAAGAUGAUCUUACGAUCCUUUGCUUCUUAUUAAUUAAAUUGGCCACGAUAAGCGGGACAGCGUACGUGAUAUAAAGUUUUCAUAAGUAUUUUGACAUUUUCAAUAGGAAACUUGUAUGUCCAUAUUGUACGCGCUACAUGAAACAUUUUGAAAUUUCAUUUCAUUAGCACUGUAACAUGACAUGAUUAUUUUUCUUCUUUUUUGACAAUUUGGAAGGAUUAAUUUAAUAGACCAAGUGUAAAAAGAUUUCGAAGAAAUUGCAAUUAGUCGAAAGAAGAAGAAAAUAGCAAAGAUCUUUCGAUGUCUGUUACUUGAUUCCAUUGAUCAACCAAUAUCGAUAAAAUGUUCAAUAUAUCUGUAACUGAACAACGUCAUCAUCCUCCUACGUACAUGAACUAUGAACUUUCGCGCAUUUAGAGGAAAUUUAAAAAUGCAAAAUUGCGCAAAAUAUACAUACAUAUAUAUGUAAACUCCCUAGAGUUCAUGUAGGAUAGGGAUUCUUUUCGUUUUACGGAUAGCACGACAGGCUGUGUUUCAUGGACAGAACGAUUUUCCUUUGUUUUACGGACGGCCAUUUGAAGAAACACGUUCUUCCCAAACGAACGGACAGAGAGUUACAUUAGAGACAGAUAAGGUUACAGAAUAGUUAUUUAAGAUUUUAAAGACUGAAGGAGAAAUAUUGGUAGCUAAGGACGUUGAAAAUCGAUUCUCGAUUUUCAGACUUUAGAAUCGAUCCCUGAAUUAUCCAAUUAUUGAACCUUAUAAAUCGACUUUCCCUACGCCAUCUUGCUGAAAGUUAACCUACGCGUCGUCAUGAACGAGAACGCGAAACAGUAGAAGAUAGAGAAGAUAUAGAAUCUAUCAGAAGACCAGAAGACGAAAUAUUCUGUAUUUUCCCCCCGGAAUAUCAAGAAGAAAAGUACCAUCAACAAUUAUUCAGUUUACCAAUAGUGAAGAAGGUCGCAAACAGUCUAACCAAGGUAGGCCAAUGUAGAAAUAUUAAACUCACAAUAGAUGACGAGACAGCAACAUUGUAUAUCAAUACGGAUUCAAGCUUCGCAUUCCGAGACAUUGUCUUAGAGGAACCAGAAAUAACUUGCAGAAGAAAAACAAAGACGGAAAUUGACAUGGUAAAACUUCUAGAGACUCUCAGAAAAUGAGAUAAGAGGGAAAUAGAGGAAAUAAACUUCAAUAUAGAACAAUUUGAAGGAACUCGAAGAGCCACAGACUGGAUAUCGGAGCAUGAAGAGGAAUGCAAAAGAUACAAAAUAAAAGGUAAUGAGGAAAAAGUCAAAGGUUUAAGAAAGUAUCUAGGAAAAACAGCAGAAAGAUGGUACCAAAGGAAUCUGCUGAAAGCUGAAGGACACAACUGGGGAGAUUGGAGGAAGCAUUUCUCAAAACUUUUAAUCCUUUGAGUGCUGUGGGCCCAUAUAGGUGUCUGGUGAAAGCUAUCAGUAAGGACUAAGGAUAUAUAUACUUGUUUUCUGUAAGUGACUGGCAUGGACUAAGGACACAUGUAUAGGUUUCUCAAUUGUUCCAAACACCUACGUAGAAGUAAUACUAUUACAUUUGUGUGAAAUAAAUAUAAAUGCAUUCCUUACGGCAUUAAAAAAAAUGCCAAAAGUGUCUCCUUAUUGUUGAAGUGAUCAC